Molecule: ribosomal RNA, 252 nt
Filed under: uncultured bacterium
Lineage: Bacteria
Description: partial 16S ribosomal RNA
Rfam family: Bacterial small subunit ribosomal RNA
Source: RNAcentral
UACGGAGGAUGCGAGCGUUAUCCGGAUUUAUUGGGUUUAAAGGGUGCGUAGGCGGCGAGUUAAGUCAGCGGUAAAAGCCCGGGGCCCAACCCCGGCCCGCCGUUGAAACUGGCUGGCUUGAGUUGGGGAAAGGCAGGCGGAAUGCGCGGUGUAGCGGUGAAAUGCAUAGAUAUCGCGCAGAACCCCGAUUGCGAAGGCAGCCUGCCGGCCCCACACUGACGCUGAGGCACGAAAGCGUGGGUAUCGAACAGG